Cavia porcellus (domestic guinea pig) is the source of this 101-nucleotide unclassified non-coding RNA. It matches the Rfam family "Y RNA". From Rfam's summary of the family: Y RNAs are components of the Ro ribonucleoprotein particle (Ro RNP), in association with Ro60 and La proteins. The Y RNAs and Ro60 and La proteins are well conserved, but the function of the Ro RNP is not known. Lineage: Eukaryota; Metazoa; Chordata; Mammalia; Rodentia; Caviidae. The record is from Ensembl.
GGCUAGUCCAAUGGCAGUGGGUUAUCAGAACUUAUUAACAUUAGUGUCACUAAAGUUGGUAUACCACCCCCCCCCCCACUGCUAAAUUUGACUGGCUUUAA